This 467-nucleotide ribosomal RNA is filed under the name uncultured bacterium. RNAcentral describes it as "partial 16S ribosomal RNA". It matches the Rfam family "Bacterial small subunit ribosomal RNA", at positions 28 to 507 of the family's 1533-position model. The record is from RNAcentral.
GACGAACGCUGGCGGCGUGCUUAACACAUGCAAGUCGAACGGAAAGGCCUCUUUCUGGGGGUACUCGAGUGGCGAACUGGUGAGUAACACGUGAGUAACCUGCCCUUGACUUUUGGAUAACUUCAGGAAACUGGGGCUAAUACCUGAUAGGAGCUCCUGCUGCAUGUUUGGGGUUUUAAAGUUUCUGGGGUUGGGGAUGGCCUCGCGGCUUAUCUGCUUGUUGGUGGGGUAGUGGCUUACCAAGGCUUUGACGGGUAGCCGGCCUGAGAAGGUGACCGGCAACAAUGGGAAUGAGAAACGGCACAGAAGGAUAAGGGAGGCAGAAGGGGGGAAUAAUGAAAAAUGGGUGGAAGCCGGAUGCAGAAAAGCCGAGUGCGGGAUGACGGCCUUCGGGUUGUAAACCGCUUUCGCUCAUGACGAAGCUUUGUGUGACGGUAGUGGGUAAAGAAGCACCGGCUAACUACGUG